AAGUUCCCUCUGUAUGCAGAAUAUUGUGCAACAUGGUUAUGGGUACUACAGUGGAUGUGAGUGUGUAGACCUUGUACAAUAGAGCUUAUAGGCUAAUGAGAAGACAGGAAGAAACAACAGGAACACAUAUAGCUGGAAUGCAGAUGGGAUCUGUGCUACUUACGCUAGCCAUGGGAUGAUUAGAACAAGAUAAGAGACAUGAGGAAGACUUCUUCAAGGAGGUGCUCAAGCCAUGUUUUGGAAAAGAGAACUCAAGGUCUGGCAGGGAGAAAGGAGCAAGGUCCUCUUCUCCCUGAAGGCUGUCACAGUUCCUGUGCAGAGAGAGAGGGCACUGCAGCACCCAGGCGCUGACUGCCUUUUGUCAGUCUCAUUUGCAGGCCCCCAGCUGGAGAACCCAGGAGGAAGAGGAAAAAAGUUUUUUCCUCCUCUACACUCCCCAUGCAUGACUAAAGAGUAGGAGGAGUCAGCAAGGCAGACAUAUAUAGUACCCAGGAGGUGGACAAACAACUGCCUUGGUGGAAACUCUGUCCUUUCUGGACUUAUCCUGGUGCCACUGAGACUGUGCAGCAAGCCAUGUAUCUGGCUCCCCUCCCACCUUCUCACCUUGGAACACCACCAGCUGUAGGCAUCUACAUGCAGCAGGAAGCAUCACUGAGUCCCACACUUACAGGGAAAGCAUCACCCGAAAGUGAGAAUGCCUAGAGGCAGGAAUCAUGGAGGCUUCCUUAACCGUCUGUCUGCAACAGCAGGUGCUAGAGAUGACACUGCAGAGUAGAGAACAAAGGAAUCUUAGUAAUUGUUCAAUCCAAUCUCCACACUUUAAAGAUGAAGAAACUGGUAUUGAGAAAAAUACACAGCUUAUCCAAGGUUGCACUGCUGGUUGGUAGCUGAGAUGAAUUUAGAACCCACAUCUGAUGACUACACCAUAUUGCUCCCAGUUUUCCUGUCUGUUCCACAUGUAAAAGUCUGACUCUUCACUUCUCCUUUGAGUAUAUAGACUUUUAACAUUUUUGUAUGUCAAGAUGGACUUUUCCUCAUACCCAGCCCCUGCCUUUUCUCCUCCCUUCAUACCUUGCAGGAUCUUUAACAGAAUUUAAAAGGAGUUUUUUGUUUUGUUUUGAUGUAUCUAAUAAAAGUCAAGGGAGGGAGAGGGCCAGUAUAAGCAAGAGUACAGUUUCCUAGUUUGUAGAUGCGGUAGUCUGAGGAAUCAGAAACACACAAAGGUUUGGAGAACUGGUACAUGCUCCCAGGUGGGAAGCCAGGACUCUUGGUAGGAUCUUGAGGACAAGGCAAAGGACAAUAAGAGAGCGAGGGGAUCCUAGAGGUGGAAUCAAGGAAGAGAAACUAGAGAGAGAAAAAGGAACUGGCUAUCCAUCCAUGAUGGAUCCUGUGUGGACUGAUGGGUGGCUUGGCAUCAUCCUUUAGUAGACUUCAUGUGGUUGAAUAAUUGGCCAAUGGAAGGAAUUUCUUUUUUGGUAACAGACUCUGUGUGUACAGUUAUGGGUCUUAAUUUAUAAUAAAAGGUUACAUUGAAAAUUG
This is a long non-coding RNA of Homo sapiens (human), 1539 nucleotides long. Ensembl annotates it as long intergenic non-protein coding RNA 2532. Lineage: Eukaryota; Metazoa; Chordata; Mammalia; Primates; Hominidae. The record is from Ensembl.